AUUGAACGCUGGCGGCAGGCCUAACACAUGCAAGUCGAGCGGAUGAAGGGAGCUUGCUCCUGGAUUCAGCGGCGGACGGGUGAGUAAUGCCUAGGAAUCUGCCUGGUAGUGGGGGAUAACGUCCGGAAACGGGCGCUAAUACCGCAUACGUCCUGAGGGAGAAAGUGGGGGAUCUUCGGACCUCACGCUAUCAGAUGAGCCUAGGUCGGAUUAGCUAGUUGGCGGGGUAAAGGCCGACCAAGGCGACGAUCCGUAACUGGUCUGAGAGGAUGAUCAGUCACACUGGAACUGAGACACGGUCCAGACUCCUACGGGAGGCAGCAGUGGGGAAUAUUGGACAAUGGGCGAAAGCCUGAUCCAGCCAUGCCGCGUGUGUGAAGAAGGUCUUCGGAUUGUAAAGCACUUUAAGUUGGGAGGAAGGGCAGUAAGUUAAUACCUUGCUGUUUUGACGUUACCAACAGAAUAAGCACCGGCUAACUUCGUG
RNAcentral lists this ribosomal RNA (484 nucleotides) under uncultured bacterium. Its description in RNAcentral is "partial 16S ribosomal RNA". It matches the Rfam family "Bacterial small subunit ribosomal RNA", at positions 30 to 507 of the family's 1533-position model. The record is from RNAcentral.